GAGGGAACACCGGUGGGGAAGGGGGACUCCGGGACCAACAUAGACGCUGAGGGAUGAGGGCGUGGGGAGCAGCCUGGAUUAGAUACCUCUGUUAGUCACGCAGUAAACGGUGAUCAAUAGGUGUAGCGGGUAUAUACUCGCCUGCGCCGGAGCAAUACCCAUUAACUCAUCCGCCUGGGGAGUACGGCAGCACGGUUACAACUCAAAGGCACUGACGGGGGGGCGGCCCAACAGCUCGAGCAUGUGGUUUAAUUUGAGCGCAACGCGAAGAACAUAACUCGGGUUUGCCAUCCCUCCUCCCUUUUGAAAAAAGGAAGUCCCUUCGGGGAGCCCGGUGACUCGUGCUGUACGGUCAAUGUCAGACGCGUGUGAUCCUUUUGUGGGGUAAAUACCCCAUCUAGCGCAACCCCUAUCUUUUCUUACCAUCAUCAAGUUGGGGACUCUAUUGAUACCGCCCCGGUCAACGGGGAGGAAGGCGGGGAUGACGUCAAGUCUUCAUGGCCCUUAUACCCAGGGAUACACAUCCUUUUCAACCGCCUGUCCAAAGGGAAGCGAUUUCGCCCUUGGGAUCCAAUCUCAAAAAGCAGUUCGUACCCAUGAUUGGAGUCUGCAACUCUACUCCAUGAAGUAGGAAUAUAACGUAAUAGCCGAUCAGCAUGCCGCGGUGAAUAAGUUCCCGGGCCUUGCAAACAUCGCCCGCCACACCAUGAGAGUUGGUUGUACCAGAA
RNAcentral lists this ribosomal RNA (728 nucleotides) under uncultured organism. RNAcentral's name for it is "bacterial SSU rRNA". It matches the Rfam family "Bacterial small subunit ribosomal RNA", at positions 700 to 1425 of the family's 1533-position model. The record is from RNAcentral.